RNAcentral lists this ribosomal RNA (465 nucleotides) under Vreelandella stevensii. Its description in RNAcentral is "partial 16S ribosomal RNA". It matches the Rfam family "Bacterial small subunit ribosomal RNA", at positions 338 to 795 of the family's 1533-position model. Lineage: Bacteria; Pseudomonadati; Pseudomonadota; Gammaproteobacteria; Oceanospirillales; Halomonadaceae. The record is from RNAcentral.
CCUACGGGUGGCAGCAGUGGGGAAUAUUGGACAAUGGGGGGAACCCUGAUCCAGCCAUGCCGCGUGUGUGAAGAAGGCCCUCGGGUUGUAAAGCACUUUCAGUGAGGAAGAACGCCUGGUGGUUAAUACCCAUCAGGAAAGACAUCACUCACAGAAGAAGCACCGGCUAACUCCGUGCCAGCAGCCGCGGUAAUACGGAGGGUGCGAGCGUUAAUCGGAAUUACUGGGCGUAAAGCGCGCGUAGGUGGCUUGAUAAGCCGGUUGUGAAAGCCCCGGGCGCAACCUGGGAACGGCAUCCGGAACUGUCAAGCUAGAGUGCAGGAGAGGAAGGUAGAAUUCCCGGUGUAGCGGUGAAAUGCGUAGAGAUCGGGAGGAAUACCAGUGGCGAAGGCGGCCUUCUGGACUGACACUGACACUGAGGUGCGAAAGCGUGGGUAGCAAACAGGAUUAGAUACCCCUGUAGUC